CCUACGGGAGGCUGCAGUGAGGAAUAUUGGUCAAUGGACGCAAGUCUGAACCAGCCAAGCCGCGUGCAGGAAGAAGGCGCUAUGAGUUGUAAACUGCUUUUGUAAGAGGGUAAAGCCCGAUACGUGUAUCGGGUUGAAAGGAUCGUACGAAUAAGGAUCGGCUAACUCCGUGCCAGCAGCCGCGGUAAUACGGAGGAUUCAAGCUUUAUCCGGAUUUAUUGGGUUUAAAGGGUGCGUAGGCGGUUUGAUAAGUUAGAGGUGAAAGCCCGGGGCUCAACUCCGGCACUGCCUCUGAUACUGUCGGUCUAGAGUUUAGUUGCGGUAGGCGGAAUGUAUGGUGUAGCGGUGAAAUGCAUAGAUAUCAUGCAGCACCCCGAUUGCGAAGGCAGCUUACCAAACUACGACUGACGUUGAGGCACGAAAGCGUGGGGAUCAAACAGGAUUAGCUACCCUUGUAGUC
RNAcentral lists this ribosomal RNA (460 nucleotides) under uncultured bacterium. RNAcentral describes it as "partial 16S ribosomal RNA". It matches the Rfam family "Bacterial small subunit ribosomal RNA", at positions 338 to 795 of the family's 1533-position model. The record is from RNAcentral.